RNAcentral lists this ribosomal RNA (253 nucleotides) under uncultured bacterium. RNAcentral describes it as "partial 16S ribosomal RNA". It matches the Rfam family "Bacterial small subunit ribosomal RNA", at positions 524 to 776 of the family's 1533-position model. The record is from RNAcentral.
UACGUAGGGUGCGAGCGUUAUCCGGAAUUAUUGGGCGUAAAGAGCUCGUAGGCGGUUUGUCGCGUCUGCUGUGAAAACCCGAGGCUCAACCUCGGGCCUGCAGUGGGUACGGGCAGACUAGAGUGCGGUAGGGGAGAUUGGAAUUCCUGGUGUAGCGGUGGAAUGCGCAGAUAUCAGGAGGAACACCAAUGGCGAAGGCAGAUCUCUGGGCCGUAACUGACGCUGAGACGCGAAAGCGUGGGGAGCGAACAGG